Long non-coding RNA from Poecilia reticulata (guppy), 1043 nucleotides. RefSeq lists it as uncharacterized. The record is from RefSeq and is a predicted model, not a curated record. NCBI's taxonomy places the organism in Eukaryota, Metazoa, Chordata, Actinopteri, Cyprinodontiformes, Poeciliidae.
AAAAAGAAACAACAACAAAAAGACACAACAAAAACUUACUUUAUUGUUAUUCCACCUCCUAACAUGCUAACAGUCCUGUCGUUCAUGAUGCUCAGGGUCUCUAACGAGGCGCAGACACCUCUGCUAACUCUCAGGAAGACAAUUUCCGUACUUUUUCUGGUCAAUUGAAGCAUGGCGUUGGCAGCGUUACUCUUUGCCAGUGGUUCAGAUACAGUUCUGUUAUGUAUUGAUACAAAAUACAAAGUGUUUGGAGUCAAAAACUACGAUUAUAGUGAACAGAUUACAAGAAAGUCUGGCUGCAUAUAAGGAAAAACUGAAGAAACGAGGCAAAUGAAACCUACUUCCAGCUCACAAAGCGAGAAGCGGAAGUGUUUGCUCAUCAGAGAUUUAACCCGACUGCUAGGUAAGCACACCGCUGAACUUCAUAAACUCCUUCCUCUCCUCUGGAUUAAAGGUUUCUUAAUAUCAGGCCAGCAGAAAGUUCAGGCUCCCGUCUAAUAAAUGUGUCUGCAGAGAACUAAAAGCUGAGGGAAAGUCAAUAAAUAAAACGGCUGACGGCAAGCUCAGGGCUCUCCAGAUGUCGUCCCCUGCUCCUCUGGCAGCGUUGCAGGCGACACAUCAGCGAAGGAGGUUUUUAUCAUCUCCGAGAUGAGACGCUUCGUGAUGCGUAUCAGGACUUAAAAAGGUUCACUAAUCAGCGAUUCUCCAACAGCGGCCGACUCUGGAGACGGACAAGAAUGACUUUUGAAAAGAACUGCAGCGAAUCUAAUCCGCAAAGUGCAGAGAGCCCAUAACAGGCUGGAUUUCAGGAAGAUACGGGAAUAUGGUAGAACAGAAUUCAGAGCUUCUCAGACAGUAACUUCAUGAGAGCAGAUCACAACGGAGACUCCUGAUUGACUCCAAAAGAUCAGUACUGAAGAAGCUGUAUUAAUGGAAAGUUUAGUAGAAGGAUGAACUAGUGAAAUAAUUCUAGAGUUUGGGGUGAUUCACAUUAAAUACACUGUAGCUUGAGUUGGUUUAUUCAAGCUGCCUAAGGUCCAGUG